AGAUAAAGGCGUGGACCUCUACGU
Molecule: non-coding RNA, 24 nt
Filed under: Cricetulus griseus (Chinese hamster)
Lineage: Eukaryota; Metazoa; Chordata; Mammalia; Rodentia; Cricetidae
Source: RNAcentral